RNAcentral lists this non-coding RNA (236 nucleotides) under Bulleidia extructa. RNAcentral describes it as "T-box sequence". It matches the Rfam family "T-box leader". From Rfam's summary of the family: Uncharged tRNA acts as the effector for transcription antitermination of genes in the T-box leader family. T-boxes are found upstream of many aminoacyl-tRNA synthetase genes and some amino acid biosynthetic genes usually in Gram-positive bacteria. Lineage: Bacteria; Bacillati; Bacillota; Erysipelotrichia; Erysipelotrichales; Erysipelotrichaceae. The record is from RNAcentral.
UAUACAGCGAUGAAAAGAAGAGUAGCCAGAAAAUAGUUGUCUUAGAGAGUCCCGGCAGCUGAAAAGGGAACAAGGAAGGUUUGGUGAAUAUGGUCUUGGAGCUUUGGUGUCGAUCGUUAGGCAUCAACGGGAUGUCCCGUUAUAGACGCGGAGUAUGUUGGUACUCUAUGAGGCAUGUAUCGUGAGGUAUAUGUGAAUUAAGGUGGUAACACGAGAUGAUCUAUCCCGUCCUUAUA